CUCCGGGCCUUGUCCCCGUAGAGCCUCAGGGACUGCAAAAUGACCCUGUUACCUGGAGGCGGGACCUGGAUGGGGCUCCACCUCCCGUUGAGCUGCACUCUCACAUGCUAGACUAUACCAAGGUCUCCAGCCCACGUACCUGUGAACACCUCCAUUUCCCUAGCACAGCCGAGAUCCUGUCACCCACAGGGUUAGGACCUUCCCUAUGCUCUUCCCUAUGUGCCUCCUGCCACAGAUGUCCCUCCUCAGCUCCUUCAAGACACAUCCUGACCAUAGCUGGGGAGACUCCAGCUCAGCCUCCGGAGAGAUAGAAACCCUUCUACAUUGUUGGGAAGUCCUGCUGCUAAGGUUGAAUGAAGCCUGCCGUUACUGGACAGCCCUGAGCUCGGUGCGAAACGGCAGACUCCCUUCGUCAGCCAAACCCCCAUCUUCUCUGGGAGUUCCAGGAUCCCACGUUACCUACCUGAGGAAUGUCACUUAGUCCUGUGAUCCUGAAAUGCCACUCCAUGUUAAUGGGGCAUCUGAGUACCUUAGCUUUCAGCCAAUGAAAGCUUUCAACCUUUGCCCUGGAUAUUCUCACCCCU
This 584-nucleotide long non-coding RNA is filed under the name Rattus norvegicus (Norway rat). RNAcentral's name for it is "long non-coding RNA NONRATT032865". Lineage: Eukaryota; Metazoa; Chordata; Mammalia; Rodentia; Muridae. The record is from RNAcentral.